This is a long non-coding RNA of Cyprinus carpio (common carp), 407 nucleotides long. The record is from Ensembl. Lineage: Eukaryota; Metazoa; Chordata; Actinopteri; Cypriniformes; Cyprinidae.
AUGGGUAAGAACAACAAAAGGGGACGCAAGAAUCGCAAUAAGAAUGGCGAGAUUAAAUACAAGUGCAGUCGUAAGAAACAUCAACCAGAUGUCGAUGUUGAUGUAGAUGUAGCAAUUAGUGAUUGUGCUGCACCCGAUUACACUGACAGUGAUUGUUCUGGAUGCGAUUGCACUGAUUGUGAUUGUUCUGGAUGCGAUUGCACUGAUUGUGAUUGUUCUGGAUGCUGUGAUUGUUUCUUUUCAAUCUGCUGUGAUUUUCUGGCAUCAUGCAUUUCUUGUUGUUUUGACAGAGAUGAAUAAUCUGUUCAGAGUAAAUGGAUUCCUGGAGGAGAUGCAGCGGUCAGAGGUCUCCUAAAGAGCAUCAUCUAACCCAAAGCAAACAGCAAUAAAUACCAUCUUUAAUGUCA